RNAcentral lists this ribosomal RNA (404 nucleotides) under Actinomycetes bacterium. RNAcentral's name for it is "Actinobacteria bacterium partial 16S ribosomal RNA". It matches the Rfam family "Bacterial small subunit ribosomal RNA", at positions 355 to 776 of the family's 1533-position model. Lineage: Bacteria; Bacillati; Actinomycetota; Actinomycetes. The record is from RNAcentral.
UGGGGAAUAUUGGACAAAGGGCGCAAGCCUGAUCCAGCCAUGCCGCGUGAGUGAUGAAGGCCCUAGGGUUGUAAAGCUCUUUCACCGGUGAAGAUAAUGACGGUAACCGGAGAAGAAGCCCCGGCUAACUUCGUGCCAGCAGCCGCGGUAAUACGAAGGGGGCUAGCGUUGUUCGGAUUUACUGGGCGUAAAGCGCACGUAGGCGGACUAUUAAGUCAGGGGUGAAAUCCCGGGGCUCAACCCCGGAACUGCCUUUGAUACUGGUAGUCUUGAGUUCGAGAGAGGUGAGUAGAAUUCCGAGUGUAGAGGUGAAAUUCGUAGAUAUUCGGGGGAACACCAGUCGCGAAGGCGGCUCACUGACUCGAUACUGACGCUGGGGUGCGAAAGCGUGGGGAGCAAACAGG